GUCAGAGUUUGAUCCUGGCUCAGAGCGAACGCUGGCGGCAGGCCUAACACAUGCAAGUCGAACGGACCCUUCGGGGGUUAGUGGCGGACGGGUGAGUAACACGUGGGAACGUGCCUUUAGGUUCGGAAUAGCUCCUGGAAACGGGUGGUAAUGCCGAAUGUGCCCUUCGGGGGAAAGAUUUAUCGCCUUUAGAGCGGCCCGCGUCUGAUUAGCUAGUUGGUGGGGUAAUGGCCACCAAGGCUACGAUCAGUAGCUGGUCUGAGAGGAUGACCAGCCACAUUGGGGACUGAGACACGGCCCAAACUCCGUACGGAGGCAGCAGUGGGGAAUCUUGCGCAAUGGGCGAAAGCUGACGCAGCCAUGCCGCGUGC
RNAcentral lists this ribosomal RNA (371 nucleotides) under uncultured Brevundimonas sp. RNAcentral's name for it is "bacterial SSU rRNA". It matches the Rfam family "Bacterial small subunit ribosomal RNA", at positions 1 to 404 of the family's 1533-position model. The record is from RNAcentral. Lineage: Bacteria; Pseudomonadati; Pseudomonadota; Alphaproteobacteria; Caulobacterales; Caulobacteraceae.